This is a long non-coding RNA of Alligator mississippiensis (American alligator), 4721 nucleotides long. RefSeq lists it as uncharacterized. The record is from RefSeq and is a predicted model, not a curated record. Lineage: Eukaryota; Metazoa; Chordata; Crocodylia; Alligatoridae. The transcript is spliced from 5 exons.
GUUGACCAGGAGCCUGCUUGGCUGACAGAGAGGAGAAAGCAGGGAGCAGAGCAGCUCAGCAGAGCUGCCCAGCCCACUUACAGCCUGGAGAAAGUCCUGGUAUACAGCAGAAGUGUGCACUCUGCUUUAUUCUGUGUAGAAGGAGCAAUUCCUAAAACAAUGUAAUUUGUGGGAACUGGAUCUUGUGAAUGGGUUGAGAUCAAGGAAGAGUGGAUUGCCUAAAGGCUGUUUACGACUGCCUGUUCCAGGAUGGAGAUCAGAUGGCCAUUCAUUUAGAAGCAGAAGGAAGACCAGAAAAUAACCUCUGCCUUUUUAUUUUCAACACAGCAUGAAACAGCUCCUAUUUUGGUAAGUCUUGCACACAGACAUCAUAUGGAAGGCCCUCCUGAGAGAUGCCUGUCUCUCUUCAUGUAUAUGACACAGGCAGGGACAGACCAGCCAUUUUUCCACAAGAUCAUUUUGCCAGGCAGGCACUUUACAAAAAAAACCAUUCAAGACUUUGGCUAACAGACUUCAAGGAAGCCAAAAAAGAGCUACAACUUUCAAAGGCAAAACAUCCUGACUGGCUUUAAAAGAAAGUCUGUCAAUAUCAAUUUUAUUAGAAUAUUGCCACAAUCUAUCUUCUUUGGGGAAACUUUCCAAGGACAUAGAGACCUACAUUUUAACACAGUUUGAAAAAUCCUUAAAACAAAAGGGAUGAUUAAUCAAAUCAAGUCUCUCCCUUCCCUCCUGCCAAUGACUUAAAGUUUCAAGACAGAAAACAGGAGGUUUUUUGUUUGUUUUUUUGCAGUGGGACAAAACAGGAGAUACUGGAGGGAUUAGUAGGAUUAUUUAUUGCUAUUUCUUCAUUGAUAGUUUAUCUUAAUUUAACCUUGAUCUGAAUGCUAUAAAUUAUUUUGAUUAGAUGGGCUACUGAAUUUUAAAUGGAAUGCAAUUUUAGUGCACUCCAAACUGACCAAUAUCAAAUCCAAUAAGGGAAAGCAAUUUCUAAAGACCAUAAUAUCCACUCAACCCAUCCAGAGGAGAUUUAGGCCAGAACAAAGCUCUCAGUUUUUGAAUAAAAUGCCAGCAUCCGCUUCUAAUGUUCUUGAUAAAAGAUCUAAUAAGAUAGCUAUUUUUUAUUUCUUUACAGAAAACAGUAUUUGACAUUUUCUGCAUCCUGAUGUUUAAAUCCUAUUGUCUUGUUAUUACAGAGUAUGAGAUCAGUGACAUGAAAUGAGUAUUGAUAUACUUCAAUAUGUAAGCAUAAAUACAGUAAAUUAUAUUUUGAUGUCAUUGCCUUAUCACUUUUUUUUAAAGGCGUGUGGUACUGUGCUGCUGCAUUCCCUUUGGAUUUUUCUUCUAUGUUAUCACAAGAAAAGGAGAUUUUUUGCUUUGAGAGCUGCUUAAUAAUGUAUGCACCCAAUAGUCCACCAAAGCUUCAAAGAGCCAAUUAUGGUUAUGGACUGUUACAUAAAUACAAGUUUAGGAGGCUUGAAGAUGCAUAAUACAUAUGGCCUCUGGUAAAUAAAUAUGGAAUAUGGGAGUUUUGAAAUUGGAGUUACUGACAUGAAGAAAUGUAAUGGCUUCAAAUGAAUGGUUCCAGUAUAUAGAGGCCCGCUGGCUGCUGGUGCUCAUUAAAUAUGAUUACACCGUUUGUGAUUAAGACCAAAAGCCCUCCGUUGUUUCAAAGAGCAAACAAACCUUUUAAUUAGUUUUUGGAAUGUAUGACAAUAUCUAAAAGUGCUAAAAUUUUUAUUUGCAGGUGAUGCAAAAUUAUUCAGAUUAAUAAAGGCUAAAGAGGAUUAUAUGAAACUCCAGAAGGACUUAAAUCCAAGUGAUUGGAUAACACUAUGGCAACUGAACAUGAAUACUAAAAAUGCAAGAUAGUGUAUGCACACUGAAAAGAAAAGUUUGAAUUAUGCUUACAUAUUGAUGGAUUCUACAUUAACCGUAGCCAAUCAGGAAAAAGAUAUAGCAGUAGACAGUUCAGUGAAACCAUCUGUUCAGUGUGCAGCAGUUAAAAGUGAACAAUGAGUUGGGCUGUAUUAAGAAAAGGACAGAAAAUAAUACUGCAACUGUAAUUUAAUUAUAUAAAUCUAGGGUACAUCUUAACCUUGAAGAUUAGGUUUAGUUUUGGCCAUUGUCAUCUUAAAAAGGAUACAGUAGAAAUCAAAAAGGUUAACAGAAAUGGCUAUAGUUGGGUGUUUUUUAAUUUGCUUUGAAAACUGCUUAAUAAUGUAUGUAGCCAGAAUAAGGUAAGAUUUUCAUAUAAGAUGAAAUUUGAAUGGUUCUCUGUUUAAUUGUAAUAGUCAUCCAGGGUCAGGUCAAAGUAUAUAUUUGCUGUAAAAAUUGGUGUUCCAGAGCUGAGGGCUACUUGGUUGCAUACAGUAUUUCUUGACAAAGACCUAUAUCAUCUGCUAUUCAUCUAGUAACUGGAAAUGGUCUUGUUUUUAUUACUUGCUUUGCUUCACAUCAGAGGCAUACUUGGGCUUUUUGUGUGCUGGGCAGCAGUGGUGCACAGAGCAAUGUCAGUGGCUUUGCUGCAGUGCAGCAGCUGCUGUUUUUGCACCCCUUCCUAACUUGACGCCCAGAGCUGGUGCCCCGCUCACCCUCUGUUAGCUAAGCUCCACAUAACAGCUAUAGCCCGGCUUUAGUAGGGGAAUUUGUUUCCUUGAGAUAGGACUUCUGUUAUUAUAACACUGCAGAUACCUAGUUCCAUUUACAGUUCAGGACUAGUAAAGAAACUGCAACAAAAUUUACUCUGGAAGGCAACUGACAUAAUGUAAAUUUCAUAUUUCUUUAUAUCAAAACCCUCCCCACCAACCAAAGCAAGCAAUCAGGCCACAAACCUAUAACAAUACAUAUAGCCAGCUGACAUAACAGCUAACACCCUUAUGCCACAGUGCCCUUAUCUCUCUCUUGAUUUGUUUGUUAUAUCACCUUAUAUUUUCUCAGUUUAGGCUCUGACCCUGUUAACUCUUAUGCACGUCCUUCAUUUUGCUCAGUAAAGUAGGGCUGUUGAUUUUAGUGAGAGACUGCACAUAAGUGAAGUACAUACUUACAAGACUGUGUAAGCCUGUGGAGUCAGAGACUAUUUGACAGUGUUUGUAUAGAAUUUUGUUCAAUAAGAUCCCCUUUGGACUGGGGCUUUGGGUGCUGUUGUAAUAAAUGCUGGCACUCAAACAUGCAUAGAGGUAAACCCACACAUUUGUGUUCUGAUGAAAAAGCCUAUAAUCAAACCAAACUGUGAUUUCGGAUUCCGUUCAAGAUGGCUUUGUGCUGCUGAUCACAUCAUGAUGCACAUAAAUUAACAUAAGCCUGUAUGAUGCAUGCAGGGUAGAGGAAUUUAUUGCUGAACAAGACUGUCUAAUGUUUGUUUAAAUACAUCCCACACAGACCUAUGUAAAGCAGCCAGAUUACUUUCCUAUUUUGUGAGGAAAAUUUAUAAUAAGCGUAUUGCAUCGACUGUGCUGUUUGUAUCACCCAUAUAUGACUGAAUCCUCCUGAAAGUUAAGAUUGUAAAAUUAACUGAUUAUACAUGAAUCCCUAAUAUCAUCUUCUCAAGCAAAAUCCAUACUUUCUCCAAUUUCGUCUUAUUCUGUCAAGCCCAUAACCAUUCAAUAAUCUAACAGAGUAUUAUAUAGCUAGCAUCACCAAAAUGAAGGAUGUUUUCCAUACAGACCACAUAUCUGAAUGACAGCUUUAUUUUCAGAGGACCUGGCAAAAAGUACAAUACAGGAAAAGACUUUCUAAGCAUUUCUAAACAAAAAACUAAAGAGUUAGCUCAAGAGCAAGUUGACCUCAAGAACCAAUAGAGGAAAAGGAUAAGAGAAAGGACACACAAUACUAUAUUUACCCAGUUUAUGAACACACUAGCAGACAUACUCUGGAGUUGGGAAGAAGGGAAAUGCAGAACACAGUUACACAGAAAGUUACCUGAACAUUUUAAAUUCUGGGAUGUCUAUGUUGCAGUUACUGCAGCUCUCACAGGCCUACCUAGCUAGUUUUAAACCAGUGUAGGUGGAGCUGCGUGGGCUGAUUGCCUGUGUAUCCAGCUUUUUGCAUGGGUUUUGCAGCCCUGCUGAACUCCACGCUGCUGUGGCUAUAUUAUUAACAGCACACAAGUUAGCUAGUUUAAAGCCAGGGUACAUAAACAAGAGCAGCAGGCACAGAAAUGACCACAGUGGAGACAUAUUAACCCUUAAUGAUAUAGAUGAAAGAGAAAAACUUAGGCCACUCAAUUUUGACAGUUUCUGUGAAUUCUGAGAGUGGGGAAUUCAUUUGUAGUUGAAACAGGCUUUGCACAUAAAACUGCUUUAUCCCUGCUUUUAAAAGUAGCCUUAUUUAAAUGAAAAACUGAGAACGUGAUUUUAACACUUUAUAUGGAAACAGAGUCAUUUAAAGAGGCAAAUGCCACAUCAUUAUCGCAUCUUGAAAGCUACAGAAAUUUCUUUUUUUUUUAAAUUAAAAAAAACCCCAAAAACAUAUUCUUAGGCAUUAUGGUAUUACUUCUUGGUUUUGUAACACACAGUUGUGAAUAGUGGAGACAAACUACUAGGAUUCCACAUACAUACAUUUAAUCUUAUAUUUAAUGAGGUUUACCAUAUUUCCAGUUCCAAAAAAGAGGACACCUGUUGGUGGGACACCUCACUCCCAACCUGCAGCCCCCCACCCCUGCUGCUGCCCCUCGCUUUUGACCCACAGACCGAGGGUUGCCAUAUUUCCAAGCUUAAAAAGGA